This 467-nucleotide ribosomal RNA is filed under the name uncultured bacterium. Its description in RNAcentral is "partial 16S ribosomal RNA". It matches the Rfam family "Bacterial small subunit ribosomal RNA", at positions 28 to 506 of the family's 1533-position model. The record is from RNAcentral.
GACGAACGCUGGCGGCGUGCUUAACACAUGCAAGUCGAACGGAAAGGCCCUGCUUUUCUGGGGUGCUCGAGUGGCGAACGGGUGAGUAACACGUGAGUAACCUGCCCUUGACUUUGGGAUAACUUCAGGAAACUGGGGCUAAUACCGGAUAGGAGCUCCUGCUGCAUGGUGGGGGUUGGAAAGUUUCGGCGGUUGGGGAUGGACUCGCGGCUUAUCAGCUUGUUGGUGGGGUAGUGGCUUACCAAGGCUUUGACGGGUAGCCGGCCUGAGAGGGUGACCGGCCACAUUGGGACUGAGAUACGGCCCAGACUCCUACGGGAGGCAGCAGUGGGGAAUAUUGCACAAUGGGCGGAAGCCUGAUGCAGCAACGCCGCGUGCGGGAUGACGGCCUUCGGGUUGUAAACCGCUUUCGCCUGUGACGAAGCGUGAGUGACGGUAAUGGGUAAAGAAGCACCGGCUAACUACGU